Phrynosoma platyrhinos (Desert horned lizard) is the source of this 73-nucleotide non-coding RNA. The record is from the annotation of a GenBank genome assembly. NCBI's taxonomy places the organism in Eukaryota, Metazoa, Chordata, Lepidosauria, Squamata, Phrynosomatidae.
CGCUAACUUGGCAUAGUGGUUUGUGUGUUGGACUGCGAUGCUGGAGACCAGGGUUCAAUUCUCAGCUCAGCCA